Molecule: ribosomal RNA, 679 nt
Filed under: Enterococcus sp.
Lineage: Bacteria; Bacillati; Bacillota; Bacilli; Lactobacillales; Enterococcaceae
Description: bacterial SSU rRNA
Rfam family: Bacterial small subunit ribosomal RNA
Source: RNAcentral
CUAAUACAUGCAAGUUGAACGCUUCUUUCUUAUCGAACUUCGGUUCACCAAGAAAGAAGAGUAGCGAACGGGUGAGUAACACGUGGGUAACCUGCCCAUCAGCGGGGGAUAACACUUGGAAACAGGUGCUAAUACCGCAUAAUACUUUUUCUCUCAUGAGUGAAAGUUGAAAGGCGCUUUUGCGUCACUGAUGGAUGGACCCGCGGUGCAUUAGCUAGUUGGUAGGGUAACGGCCUACCAAGGCAACGAUGCAUAGCCGACCUGAGAGGGUGAUCGGCCACACUGGGACUGAGACACGGCCCAGACUCCUACGGGAGGCAGCAGUAGGGAAUCUUCGGCAAUGGACGAAAGUCUGACCGAGCAACGCCGCGUGAGUGAAGAAGGUUUUCGGAUCGUAAAACUCUGUUGUUAGAGAAGAACAAGGAUGAGAAGAGAAUGUUCAUCCCUUGACGGUAUCUAACCAGAAAGCCACGGCUAACUACGUGCCAGCAGCCGCGGUAAUACGUAGGUGGCAAGCGUUGUCCGGAUUUAUUGGGCGUAAAGCGAGCGCAGGCGGUUCUUUAAGUCUGAUGUGAAAGCCCCCGGCUCAACCGGGGAGGGUCAUUGGAAACUGGGGAACUUGAGUGCAGAAGAGGAGAGUGGAAUUCCAUGUGUAGCGGUGAAAUGCGUAGAUAUAUGG